UUCGUCGCCAUAAAUUGCUCUCUCUGAUUACCUGUUAUCCGAUUCGAUUCUUUAUCCAAUACCUCAACUUAAUACUGCCGUUUAACUAUUCCUCUUUGCCGCGCUUGUUUUGUUCCUUUCCGACCCGCACGAGAAUGUUUAGGAGCUUCUUUUUUGUUUACUGUGGUUAUCCACCGUGACUAUACAUUGAUUGAUUGGUUGGGUGGUUGAUUUUGGUUUCAGAUUUGUGUUCAAAACUAUAGUAUCUACUUUCAAGAAAAGAAUAUCGUGUCUUGUUUUGAUGGAGGAGAAGACAAAGAUUUUGUAAAAGAGUGUAAUGAUGGGUUCUUUGCAACAACCUGUUUGGACCAAGGGUGUGAUUUCCCCUGCAAAAGGGUAUGGGAAUAAAAACAGAGUUUUACCUCGACUAAAGUUCUUCAAUGUUAGAAGGAGGUUUGGUCACUCCGAGCACGACCUCUUUGUCUUUCGUCGUGGCAUCCGAUUUGAGAGUUUGAUUUUUAUGCGCCCUGUUAUAUCAUUUUUGUGUUUUGAUGUUCUGUAUAGUCACGCUGGUUUAUAUACAGUUACUUGAAUUUAUGAAUAAUAAUGAUCUCUUUUAUACAUCUUGAGCAGUGAUGGAAGCGCCUGGCUCCUGCCUAACAAACAAGUACGGAUAACGGGUAAAAGGUAAUGAAUGGUCUAGUUACUUAAAAGACAUUUUUUAUUCAUUUUCUGGAAUCUGUUUUCUGUUUCAUAUUUUCAAGACUUUAGAGAAUACAUCUGUUAUGGUAUUAUGGUGGCAAUGAGUACAUUGAUGCGCUUGAAACCCUAUGUCUAGAAAGGCAGUGGCUGCAUUUCGUGUGGAUGUUAUCUUCAACCAUUAUCUGGUUACCCAGCUAAUUUUUCAGUAUACAAUGCAAUUCUUAAACCGCAUGAUCGAAUAAUGGUAAUCUGUUUUCUUCACACUUGAUUUUGCAUAAUUAACUCCUGGUAUCAUUUGAUUAAGCAUGUACGUAUUCAUGUGAGUUUGCAUUUGUUCCUUUUUCUAUUUUUCGACGAAAAGAAAAGAUGGAUAAAUUUUUGGUUUCACAUAAAUAUUUUUAAAAUAAAAUAAUAAAUUAAGAUAAACUUAUUAUUUUAACAUUUUUGUUUGCACAUGUUAAACACCUCUCUUAAAUAAAAUAAACAAAUUGCCCUCUCUUAUCGUGUCUCAGUUAAUGAACUCAAGUUUGCCCCAUCAAACAUGUUUUAAGAAAAUUAAAUCUUAUAUUUUCUCAUCAAUUUUGUUUGGUACGUUUUUAUUAUUCAAUUUUUUUUUCUUUGCCCUACGCAAGUGGCAAUUGAUGCAAUUGUGAGUUUUAAUGAGAUUUCAAGUUGUAACCUUAUUCUUCGGUCAAUGGGCAUUGUAUGAGCUCUUGAACCAAUUGAAAGAAAAUUCUUCUGCUUCAACAUACUGCAUGCCAUAUCCAGGACAGUUAUGUCAAAACCAUUGUUUUGGGGAGUGUUUGGAGUCGUGACUUCAUGUUCUGUCAUUCUUAGCACAGAAAUAUUCAAAGACUCUAGAAGUAUAUUCUCCCCCUCCAUUUGUCCUUAUAAUUUUUAUAGCUUUCCCACUAUAAUUUUCAACAGCAGCCUUGAAUCUCUUGAAUGUUGCAAAAACAUCACUCUUGGCUUUAAUCAGAUACACCCACAUCAUUCUGUUGUAACUUGCAUUCAUCUAUAAAAGACACAAUACUUAUUUUGUCCUGGAGAAGGUACUUCAAACGGACCACACACAUCAGAAUAUGUCACAUGCAACAAAUCAGUGACUCUCACAUGCAUAUGGGAUUUGAAAGAAGUUCAUGGUUGUUUUCCAAGUAAACAUUCUUCACACAUUUUAUCUGGCAGAGAUAUAUUGUGUAAUCCAAUCACCAUUUUCUAAUCAGCUAAUUUGUUUAAACUCUGACAAUUAAAAUGACCAAACCUUAUGUGCCAAAUCUAAUUUGAUUCGUCCAAAACAGUGGCUGCAAAGCACUGUUUUUCAACCUGAUGCAGCUUGAUCUGAAAGGUUAUGUUCUUUGACAAAGGGGACUUUAACACCAAUUUCUGUCUUGAAUCAUAAACUUUCAGCAACUCAUCCUUUGGUAACUAAGAAGCCUUUCUCAACUAGUUGUCCUACAUUUAGCUAGUUACCUUUCAUGCCAGUAACGUAAAGAAAACUCUUGAUUAUUACAACAACAAUGUAGUCAAACUUGGAGGAUAAUGUCUACAAGACUUUUUCUACCAUAUUCUGUUCUAUAUGGAAUUUGUCAGCAAGUGCAUACUGUUGAAGUAGUCUGCCACAGAUUCUUGAUCAAGCAUAAAGAACAGCUUGUAUUGUCGUCAAAGACACUGUAGCUUCACUUUCUUGGUCUUUUCAGCACCUCCAUAUGCCCUUUGCAGAAUAUCCCAAACCUCCUUUGUUGUUUGGGCUUUGGCAAUCUUUUUAAAGUUAACAAGAUCCACACACUGAUGCAGAAGACAGCGUGCCUUGAAGUCCUUUUUCUUGGUUGCUGUAUCCGCCUUCUCUGCAGUGCCUUCUUUCACGGUAUCGAGAUCACCUCCAUUUUUAUCACCCGGUGAUCAUUAUUCAUUGUAAAUUAUAAACAUACAAAAUUUAUAGUAAACGCUCAAAUUUAUUGUAAAUUAUGUUUAUGCGCGCGCGCCACACACACAUAUGUAUAUAUAAAUAUAUAUAACUUUUACA
This is a long non-coding RNA of Vigna angularis (adzuki bean), 2704 nucleotides long. RefSeq lists it as uncharacterized. The record is from RefSeq and is a predicted model, not a curated record. The transcript has 2 exons. NCBI's taxonomy places the organism in Eukaryota, Viridiplantae, Streptophyta, Magnoliopsida, Fabales, Fabaceae.